UUUGCGUCUUCUCUUCAAUUCUGCUUCUGUGCUUCGGAGAUACGUCGAAUCAAAACCGUGGAUUGAAAGAGAGGGAUGCAAGCUAAGGCGGAGGACUCUUGAUUUUGUGGUGCAACAAUGAAUUGAUCCUUAUUCCCUCAAUUUGUUGAAGGGGUCCCCUAUGAAUUUGGACACCAGAUUCUCAUUGGAUUUUUUGAACUCCAAGCUUGACAAUUGAUAUGAGGAUGUAUGUGAAAGGUAUAUAUAUUCAAAUGAAGGAUAUAUGUGAAAGCUUUGUCUACUCCAGAGAAGUCUGCAGAAAGAAAGCGAUGAGCUGUAACAACUACAGAGCUACUCCCUUCUGAAAAUGUUUUAAGAGCUAAGUUCAAGGCCAUAAUACAUAUAUUUACAUAGUAUGAUAUAUGGUUGAUGAUAAUGAUAACACAGUUACAUGAUCGUUGUGAAUAUACACCAGGAUUAUCAAUUGGUGCAUCACUUGGGAAAGACUCGCUUGAAUGAGUGAGUGAAUACAAGCUUUAGUGUGUGCACAGUAUAUGGCAUGCGUGGAGAAUGAGAACAUCCCUUUGUUAGUUAGGGAUAGCAAUGAAAACCUAACUUGAUGUCCUAUUAAUCUAUUAUGUACUAAAUAGUAGUACUCGGUAUGAAGUAGUUCUGGAUAGGUUUGGAGUAAUGUGAUCUCACUUAUCAUAAAGCCUUCAUUCAUAUAAAAACUUAAAGACAAUUAUUGUCUAGAUAUAUAUUCACAUAUAUGUAUUGAAAAAUAUAUACUAAUCUUGAAU
Long non-coding RNA from Argentina anserina (silverweed cinquefoil), 779 nucleotides. RefSeq lists it as uncharacterized. The transcript has 4 exons. The record is from RefSeq and is a predicted model, not a curated record. Lineage: Eukaryota; Viridiplantae; Streptophyta; Magnoliopsida; Rosales; Rosaceae.